GAACGCAUCUUGCGCUCCUUGGUAUUCCUAGGAGCAUGCCUGUUUGAGUGUCAUUAUCACCCCUCAAGCCCUCGGCUUGGUGUUGGACGGUUUGGUGGAGGCCCCCUCGGGGGCUCCUGCCCCUCCCAAAGACAAUGACGGCGGCCUCGUUGGACCCCCGGUACACUGAGUUCUUCACGGGACACGUAUCGGACACAUGGGUUUACGGGACACGGUCUGCCUCCCCUCAGGGAGAAUCUUUCUAAGGUUGACCUCGGAUCAGGUAGGGAUACCCGCUGAACUUAAG
This 286-nucleotide unclassified non-coding RNA is filed under the name uncultured Chaetothyriales. RNAcentral's name for it is "sequence contains 5.8S rRNA gene". The stretch from base 1 to 53 matches the Rfam family "5.8S ribosomal RNA", at positions 102 to 154 of the family's 154-position model. Lineage: Eukaryota; Fungi; Ascomycota; Eurotiomycetes; Chaetothyriales. The record is from RNAcentral.